AUUGAACGCUGGCGGCAGGCCUAACACAUGCAAGUCGAGCGGAUGAAGGGAGCUUGCUCCUGGAUUCAGCGGCGGACGGGUGAGUAAUGCCUAGGAAUCUGCCUGGUAGUGGGGGAUAACGUCCGGAAACGGGCGCUAAUACCGCAUACGUCCUGAGGGAGAAAGUGGGGGAUCUUCGGACCUCACGCUAUCAGAUGAGCCUAGGUCGGAUUAGCUAGUUGGUGGGGUAAAGGCCUACCAAGGCGACGAUCCGUAGCUGGUCUGAGAGGAUGAUCAGUCACACUGGAACUGAGACACGGUCCAGACUCCUGCGGGAGGCCGCAGUGGGGAAUAUUAGACAAUGGGCGAAAGCCUGAUCCAGCCAUGCCGCGUGUGUGAAGAAGGUCUUCGGAUUGUAAAGCACUUUAAGUUGGGAGGAAGGGCAGUAAGUUAAUACCUUGCUGUUUUGACGUUACCAACAGAAUAAGCACCGGCUAACUUCGUG
This 484-nucleotide ribosomal RNA is filed under the name uncultured bacterium. RNAcentral's name for it is "partial 16S ribosomal RNA". It matches the Rfam family "Bacterial small subunit ribosomal RNA", at positions 30 to 507 of the family's 1533-position model. The record is from RNAcentral.